AUUGAACGCUGGCGGAAUGCUUUACACAUGCAAGUCGAACGGCAGCACGGGGCAACCUGGUGGCGAGUGGCGAACGGGUGAGUAAUACAUCGGAACGUGCCCAAUCGUGGGGGAUAACGUAGCGAAAGUUACGCUAAUACCGCAUACGAUCUACGGAUGAAAGCGGGGGAUCGCAAGACCUCGCGCGAAUGGAGCGGCCGAUGUCAGAUUAGGUAGUUGGUGGGGUAAAGGCUCACCAAAGCCAACGAUCUGUAGCUGGUCUGAGAGGACGACCAGCCACACUGGAACUGAGACACGGUCCAGACUCCUACGGGAGGCAGCAGUGGGGAAUCUUGCGCAAUGGGCGAAAGCCUGACGCAGCAACGCCGCGUGCGGGAUGAAGGCCUUCGGGUGUAACCGCUUUCAGCAGGACGAAAUGACGGUACCUGCAGAAGAAGACCCCGGCUAACUACGUGCCAGCAGCCGCGGUAAGAUCACGUGUA
Molecule: ribosomal RNA, 482 nt
Filed under: uncultured bacterium
Lineage: Bacteria
Description: bacterial SSU rRNA
Rfam family: Bacterial small subunit ribosomal RNA
Source: RNAcentral